CCCUCUGUAGCUUAGUGGUUAAAGCGCUUGGCUGUAGCCCGAGAGAUCCCCGGUUCGAAUCCGGGCGGGGGGA
Molecule: transfer RNA, 73 nt
Filed under: Candidatus Pacearchaeota archaeon
Lineage: Archaea; Nanobdellati
Description: tRNA-Tyr
Rfam family: tRNA
About the family: Transfer RNA (tRNA) molecules are approximately 80 nucleotides in length. Their secondary structure includes four short double-helical elements and three loops (D, anti-codon, and T loops). Further hydrogen bonds mediate the characteristic L-shaped molecular structure. tRNAs have two regions of fundamental functional importance: the anti-codon, which is responsible for specific mRNA codon recognition, and the 3' end, to which the tRNAs corresponding amino acid is attached (by aminoacyl-tRNA synthetases). tRNAs cope with the degeneracy of the genetic code in two manners: having more than one tRNA (with a specific anti-codon) for a particular amino acid; and 'wobble' base-pairing, i.e. permitting non-standard base-pairing at the 3rd anti-codon position.
Source: RNAcentral